RNAcentral lists this ribosomal RNA (485 nucleotides) under uncultured bacterium. RNAcentral describes it as "bacterial SSU rRNA". It matches the Rfam family "Bacterial small subunit ribosomal RNA", at positions 28 to 507 of the family's 1533-position model. The record is from RNAcentral.
GACGAACGCUGGCGGCGUGCUUAACACAUGCAAGUCGAACGAGAAGAGAUGAGAAGCUUGCUUCUUAUCAAUUCGAGUGGCAAACGGGUGAGUAACGCGUAAGCAACCUGCCCUUCAGAUGGGGACAACAGCUGGAAACGGCUGCUAAUACCGAAUACGUUCUUUUUGUCGCAUGGCAGAGGGAAGAAAGGGAGGCUCUUCGGAGCUUUCGCUGAAGGAGGGGCUUGCGUCUGAUUAGCUAGUUGGAGGGGUAACGGCCCACCAAGGCGACGAUCAGUAGCCGGUCUGAGAGGUUGACCGGCCACAUUGGGACUGAGAUACGGCCCAGACUCCUACGGAGGCAGCAGUGGGGAAUAUUGGGCAAUGGGCGCAAGCCUGACCCAGCAACGCCGCGUGAAGGAAGAAGGCUUUCGGGUUGUAAACUUCUUUUGUCGGGGACGAGUAGAAGACGGUACCUGGCGAAUAAGCCAACGGCUAACUACGUG